RNAcentral lists this ribosomal RNA (410 nucleotides) under Meloidogyne hapla. RNAcentral's name for it is "partial 5S-18S ribosomal RNA intergenic spacer". Lineage: Eukaryota; Metazoa; Nematoda; Chromadorea; Rhabditida; Meloidogynidae. The record is from RNAcentral.
UUUGACUCUUACAUAUUAACAUUGUGAAGGAAAAAUCUUGGGAGAGUUACAGCGCUUCGCUAUAAUGAAAUAAAAUGCUAGUUAUUUUGAAGCGAACUAAAAAUUGUGAGAAGAACAGGAGGAUUUGAAAAGAUUUUUCAAAAGUUCGAAAGAUUACAUGAUUAAUGUAAAUUUUGGAUUUCCUCGCUGGUUAAUCUUAAUUCAUUACAACUACUGGUAGCAUGAUGAAUCAUCAGGAAUUUAUGCCAGUACUCUGUUAGAAGUUGGUGAAGUGAUUAAUUUUCAAUGAGAUUAAAGCAUAAUUUGUCUUGUGCAAAGGAGAUUAUAAUUUGCUGGCUUGUCAUUUUAAUCUUUAAUCAUAUUUUCGCAAAGGGAUUAAAAUGGUGGAUUUUUCGAGGGGAUUUUUAAUA